Molecule: ribosomal RNA, 253 nt
Filed under: uncultured bacterium
Lineage: Bacteria
Description: partial 16S ribosomal RNA
Rfam family: Bacterial small subunit ribosomal RNA
Source: RNAcentral
UACGAAGGGGGCUAGCGUUGCUCGGAAUUACUGGGCGUAAAGGGUGCGUAGGCGGGUUUUUAAGUCAGAGGUGAAAUCCUGGAGCUCAACUCCAGAACUGCCUUUGAUACUGAAAGUCUUGAGUAUGGGAGAGGUGAGUGGAACUGCGAGUGUAGAGGUGAAAUUCGUAGAUAUUCGCAAGAACACCAGUGGCGAAGGCGGCUCACUGGCCCAUUACUGACGCUGAGGCACGAAAGCGUGGGGAGCAAACGGG